Ictalurus punctatus (channel catfish) is the source of this 759-nucleotide non-coding RNA. Lineage: Eukaryota; Metazoa; Chordata; Actinopteri; Siluriformes; Ictaluridae. The record is from the annotation of a RefSeq genome assembly.
ACAGGUGAUGGAGAUGUAAAAGUGUCAGUGAUCCAGAGCGGCGUGUCGGACUCGGUUCCUGCAGGAGCGUCAGUGACUCUGCAGUGCUCGGUUCUCUCUGAGAGCAGAUCAGCAGAACUCCAAGUGCUCUGGUUCAGAGCUGCUCCACCACAAUCCCAUCCUCAAAUCAUUUACACUCAUCACAACAGCAGCCAUCAGUGUGAGAGCGGCUCUUCUACACACACCUGUGUGUACAACUUCUCCAAGAACAUCCUCAGCCUCAAUGAUACUGGAACUUACUACUGCGCUGUGUCUGUGUGUGGGAAGAUCAUUUUUGGGAACGGGACACGAGUACAACUGAAAGAAUCUAUGGAUCCUGUAGUGAUCUUUCUCGCUGUAUCUUUGGGAGUGUGUGUGGUUGUGAUCUUUACUCAUGCUGUAACGUGUAAAGGGGGAAACUGUGAAUGUUGCACUGGGAAAACUCAAGAUUCUACGGUAAAGAAAACACCAAAUCAGAGCCGUGAUGCGGUGGAGCUGAAUUUUGCUGCCUUACACGUCAAUAAAAGAAGAGGAAAGAGGGAACGAGCUUGUGAUAAUGUGUAUACUGAAGUGAUUUACUCUUCUGUUUCUUAGAUAAUAGAUGUCAUUGAUUUUCUCAUGUUAAUUACUCUCAUGAUCAUAAUGUUCAUUAACUGAUGAUGAAUGAAUGAAUGAAUGAAUGAAUGAAUUAAUUAAUUGAUUAAUUAAUUAAUGCAUUUGUGGUCGACUUCACCCAAGUGU